This 484-nucleotide ribosomal RNA is filed under the name uncultured bacterium. RNAcentral describes it as "partial 16S ribosomal RNA". It matches the Rfam family "Bacterial small subunit ribosomal RNA", at positions 38 to 507 of the family's 1533-position model. The record is from RNAcentral.
AGGGAAAGAGGGAGGAAGGAAGAAAAAAGGAAAGUAGAGUGGAUGAAGGGAGCUUGCUCCUGGAUUCAGCGGCGGACGGGUGAGUAAUGCCUAGGAAUCUGCCUGGUAGUGGGGGAUAACGUCCGGAAACGGGCGCUAAUACCGCAUACGUCCUGAGGGAGAAAGUGGGGGAUCUUCGGACCUCACGCUAUCAGAUGAGCCUAGGUCGGAUUAGCUAGUUGGUGGGGUAAAGGCCUACCAAGGCGACGAUCCGUAACUGGUCUGAGAGGAUGAUCAGUCACACUGGAACUGAGACACGGUCCAGACUCCUACGGGAGGCAGCAGUGGGGAAUAUUGGACAAUGGGCGAAAGCCUGAUCCAGCCAUGCCGCGUGUGUGAAGAAGGUCUUCGGAUUGUAAAGCACUUUAAGUUGGGAGGAAGGGCAGUAAGUUAAUACCUUGCUGUUUUGACGUUACCAACAGAAUAAGCACCGGCUAACUUCGUA